RNAcentral lists this transfer RNA (47 nucleotides) under Oxyrrhis marina. Its description in RNAcentral is "partial tRNA". Lineage: Eukaryota; Dinophyceae; Oxyrrhinales; Oxyrrhinaceae. The record is from RNAcentral.
CGUGGCGUAGUGGUGAAUACACCAGGCUGACAACCUGGUGUCGCUGG